This 256-nucleotide long non-coding RNA is filed under the name Homo sapiens (human). RNAcentral describes it as "HSALNT0073459". Lineage: Eukaryota; Metazoa; Chordata; Mammalia; Primates; Hominidae. The record is from RNAcentral.
CAUCAUUCAGAAGAUAUAAGAAGCUUAGAAGGUAGAAAAGUGGAUUUCUUUGAUUUUUCAGACGACAUUGCUGAAAAACAUAUUACCACAGACAAUUUGAAGGACAUUGACUGUGUCAACUGAUGGGACCCCUUAAGCCAGAGGCAGAUCUCUCAGGGAAGAAGGCAUGAUUCCUGAUAUGGGCAAAGUGCUGGGUACCCAUAAUUGUGUUGUAACUUCUUCUGGCUAUAAACCUGAGCACUGAUGCUUGACCUAU